This 497-nucleotide ribosomal RNA is filed under the name uncultured bacterium. RNAcentral's name for it is "partial 16S ribosomal RNA". It matches the Rfam family "Bacterial small subunit ribosomal RNA", at positions 28 to 507 of the family's 1533-position model. The record is from RNAcentral.
GAUGAACGCUGGCGGCGUGCCUAAUACAUGCAAGUCAAGCGAACAGACGAGGAGCUUGCUCCUCUGACGUUAGCGGCGGACGGGUGAGUAACACGUGGAUAACCUACCUAUAAGACUGGGAUAACUUCGGGAAACCGGAGCUAAUACCGGAUAAUAUAUUGAACCGCAUGGUUCAAUAGUGAAAGACGGUUUUGCUGUCACUUAUAGAUGGAUCCGCGCCGCAUUAGCUAGUUGGUAAGGUAACGGCUUACCAAGGCGACGAUGCGUAGCCGACCUGAGAGGGUGAUCGGCCACACUGGAACUGAGACACGGUCCAGACUCCUACGGGAGGCAGCAGUAGGGAAUCUUCCGCAAUGGGCGAAAGCUUGACGGAGCAACGCCGCGUGAGUGAUGAAGGUCUUCGGAUCGUAAAACUCUGUUAUUAGGGAAGAACAAAUGUGUAAGUAACUAUGCACGUCUUGACGGUACCUAAUCAGAAAGCCACGGCUAACUACGUG